This 253-nucleotide ribosomal RNA is filed under the name uncultured bacterium. Its description in RNAcentral is "partial 16S ribosomal RNA". It matches the Rfam family "Bacterial small subunit ribosomal RNA", at positions 524 to 776 of the family's 1533-position model. The record is from RNAcentral.
UACGUAGGGGGCAAGCGUUGUCCGGAAUCAUUGGGCGUAAAGAGCGUGUAGGCGGCCAGAAAAGUCCGCUGUGAAAACUCGAGGCUCAACUUCGAGCUGUCGGUGGAAACUUUCUGGCUAGAGUCCGGAAGAGGAGAAUGGAAUUCCUGGUGUAGCGGUGAAAUGCGCAGAUAUCAGGAGGAACACCCGUGGCGAAGGCGGUUCUCUGGGACGGUACUGACGCUGAGACGCGAAAGCCAGGGGAGCAAACGGG